UAUUUUGUUGCUUUUACAUCUUGUAAUUAUUAAUACUUAUUCUAAUAUUAACAGCGGUCGCUUCUAGCUCGGCAUCCACAGAGGAGCCAUCAGAUGCUGAUUUGCUUGCUGCAGCUGCACACAUAAAGGUUGCGGCUUUCAGAUGAUGGUUUUGGAAACAGUAAGCUGAUGGAAGCCAGUCAGUCAGUCAGCCAGAAGCCCUGCCCUCCUCAGAGAGAGCUGUGCCAAAAAAGCAGCCUGCGCCCACUGAAGAACUGCUGCUGCCUGAAGGUUGGAAGCAGACGCUCCCAAAAGAGUCUCUUUACCAGAGACAAGUCUGGGAAGCUGGCGCUGAACAAAAAUCUGCAUCUGUGGUGGUCUCCCCAGGACUCCGUCCUCUGUACUCCCAGCCUCCUUCUAAACCUGACGCCUUCUUUCACAGCAGGCUGUUCCUCUGGGUUCCCUACCGCAUGUGGGCCUACAAGCUGCUCUGCUCCCAGCCCAACUGCCAUCGCCUUGGGAUCCAGCUAACAGCUUCCAGCAUGUAAAAGACUGUCAGGAGGGUCUUGGACCUAAACGGGUGGUACUUCAUGGUGACUGAGUACCUUGAAUGCCAGUCCUGUAAAAAGAAGCUAGCAGCCUGGUCGCAAGAUAUCCUGGACCAGUUAGAUUCCAGCCACUGUGAACAAUUUCCUGCGGUCCUAACCUACAG
Molecule: long non-coding RNA, 691 nt
Organism: Cyprinus carpio carpio
Lineage: Eukaryota; Metazoa; Chordata; Actinopteri; Cypriniformes; Cyprinidae
Source: Ensembl